RNAcentral lists this long non-coding RNA (773 nucleotides) under Numida meleagris (helmeted guineafowl). RNAcentral's name for it is "lncRNA (ENSNMEG00000001531.1)". The record is from RNAcentral. Lineage: Eukaryota; Metazoa; Chordata; Aves; Galliformes; Numididae.
AUGAAACAACAUUGUGGGGAGGGAAGCAUUAGGGCAGCGCGGGGCAGAGGGAGCGCGGAGGGGGCACGCAGCUCACCCCGGCCCGCAGCCCUGCACCUGUCUGCGAGCUCCAUAGCGGGCGGAGGGGGAGCGGAGCGGAGGUUUUCACGGUCGUUCUGUUGCUGUAACCACCAUGGAUGUGAACGUUGUGGUGAGAACGGCUUGCUAUUUUCUCAUACUGGAUUCCUCAAAUCCAAGAGCUACUCAGCAGUUUCCAAGGCAACCACCUGUGGAAUAAUUAAAAAGGAUGGAGUGUUAGUGUGCCAGAUGCACGGAAUUCUUGCCUGGAGAGAGCACUUCGUUUUCAGCUGUCUUGAAGAAUCAAAUGUGAUUCUGCCAGCACAUUUAAGAUGUUUAUUUAAAGCUGCUGGUUCCUCCUCAGCACCAAAACUUGGAGAUAAAGAGCAAGGUGCCAGCGGGUCCCUCUGCAAGGGAAUGAGUGUUCCACUGUUCAGUUUUCUCACAGUGGCCUGGAGAAAUCUGUAAGAUUCUGAAAGGGAAUGGAUGAGCUGCUUCUACCUACUGACAUUAAAGGCAAUUCAGAAACACAGUUACCCUGUCUGGAAGCGAUGCGGAGAGAUUAACACUAAACUGCCCAGAGGUGAACAAGGAGCAAAGCUGUAUCCUGAGUUGAGACAGAAGAUCUCUUUUCCCUACUAAGGAAUAUUAUCAAGCGCUGGAGAAAAAGCAAGCAUGGAUGUUGUGGUGGCAGAUGCAGCACUGUGGGAGAGCAG